UCGUAACAAGGUUUCCGUAGGUGAACCUGCGGAAGGAUCAUUACCGAGUGAGGGCCCUCUGGGUCCAACCUCCCACCCGUGUUUAUUUUACCUUGUUGCUUCGGCGGGCCCGCCUUAACUGGCCGCCGGGGGGCUUACGCCCCCGGGCCCGCGCCCGCCGAAGACACCCUCGAACUCUGUCUGAAGAUUGUAGUCUGAGUGAAAAUAUAAAUUAUUUAAAACUUUCAACAACGGAUCUCUUGGUUCCGGCAUCGAUGAAGAACGCAGCGAAAUGCGAUACGUAAUGUGAAUUGCAAAUUCAGUGAAUCAUCGAGUCUUUGAACGCACAUUGCGCCCCCUGGUAUUCCGGGGGGCAUGCCUGUCCGAGCGUCAUUGCUGCCCUCAAGCACGGCUUGUGUGUUGGGCCCCGUCCUCCGAUCCCGGGGGACGGGCCCGAAAGGCAGCGGCGGCACCGCGUCCGGUCCUCGAGCGUAUGGGGCUUUGUCACCCGCUCUGUAGGCCCGGCCGGCGCUUGCCGAUCAACCCAAAUUUUUAUCCAGGUUGACCUCGGAUCAGGUAGGGAUACCCGCUGAACUUAAGCAUAUCA
Molecule: unclassified non-coding RNA, 586 nt
Filed under: Penicillium chrysogenum
Lineage: Eukaryota; Fungi; Ascomycota; Eurotiomycetes; Eurotiales; Aspergillaceae
Description: sequence contains 18S rRNA gene, ITS1, 5.8S rRNA gene, ITS2, 28S rRNA gene
Rfam family: 5.8S ribosomal RNA (bases 220-372)
Source: RNAcentral